UUGAAUAUUCGUUAUGACGGUGUGCAGCUUCAAAAAGGAGCUGCGCUUAAAAGGGAAGAUGGUGAAAAUCCAUCACGGUACCCGCCACUGUAAACGGUGAGUUUUAUUGCACAAUGCCACUGAAUGCUCGGGAAGGCGCAAUAAAAUGAUGAACCAAAGUCAGGAGACCUGCCGUCACAACAACUACUUC
This 190-nucleotide non-coding RNA is filed under the name Priestia koreensis. Lineage: Bacteria; Bacillati; Bacillota; Bacilli; Caryophanales; Bacillaceae. The record is from RNAcentral.